UGGGGAAUAUUGGACAAUGGGGGCAACCCUGAUCCAGCAAUGCCGCGUGUGUGAAGAAGGUCUUCGGAUUGUAAAGCACUUUCGACGGGGACGAUGAUGACGGUACCCGUAGAAGAAGCCCCGGCUAACUUCGUGCCAGCAGCCGCGGUAAUACGAAGGGGGCUAGCGUUGCUCGGAAUGACUGGGCGUAAAGGGCGUGUAGGCGGUUUACACAGUCAGAUGUGAAAUCCCCGGGCUUAACCUGGGAGCUGCAUUUGAUACGUGUAGACUAGAGUGUGAGAGAGGGUUGUGGAAUUCCCAGUGUAGAGGUGAAAUUCGUAGAUAUUGGGAAGAACACCGGUGGCGAAGGCGGCAACCUGGCUCAUUACUGACGCUGAGGCGCGAAAGCGUGGGGAGCAAACAGGAUUAGAUACCCUGGUAGUCCACGCCU
Molecule: ribosomal RNA, 430 nt
Filed under: uncultured bacterium
Lineage: Bacteria
Description: partial 16S ribosomal RNA
Rfam family: Bacterial small subunit ribosomal RNA
Source: RNAcentral